This is a long non-coding RNA of Acinonyx jubatus (cheetah), 1114 nucleotides long. RefSeq lists it as uncharacterized. NCBI's taxonomy places the organism in Eukaryota, Metazoa, Chordata, Mammalia, Carnivora, Felidae. The record is from RefSeq and is a predicted model, not a curated record. The transcript has 2 exons.
CAGGGAGGGAAGGAAGGCAUGAAGCCAAAGGAGAAGUUGGGCUGGGGUGCAAUCUGAACAGAGGCCUCGGCUGACCCUGGGUGAGGGUCUGAGGCAGGGACAAGGCAUUGGAGGAGGAGCAAGGGAAAACAGAACGUUCCUCUGCCACGCUGUGUGUCCCCUGGGGCUGGCGAUGAGUUCUGCAGACCUCUAAUCUCCAAACGCCGAGCUGCCCACAGCCCCCCGCUUUGGAGCCUGUGGGCAGCGAACAGUCAAAUCUAUUCGGACCUCCAAGGGUAAGACUGCGCCACCCAGGGGCACAAAUCAGGCAUUACUGCAUCUAUUUCAAAAGCCACAGCUCCGUGCCUAAGAUGCACGCAUGACAUACGAGUCCCAAGAACAUCUCCCGGCAAGUUUGCUGGGUUUCGUAUUUCAAACCUGGUGCAAAUUGCAUGUUCCUUCAAACAGCUGCGGUUCGAGCUGCUGGUCAAUCUCAGCCUCGCGUGAAGGCAAAGCGACAGAGACGGGGUGGGAUCCAGGAGCAAUACCUCGUCGUGGGCACCUGCAGAGCGUAAGCGUGCAGACACGGAGGCUGCAAAGCAAUGAAUGCCUCUGUGAGGUAAGGGGCUGGGCCCGGCAGCUGGGGGAGUCCCGCCAUCGUCAGCAGUCGACGGUCUGUCUGCUGUUCCACCUGCCACGCUUGGCUUCCGGCACGCUGUGCCUGUCACGUGGCCCGGAGGCAGUCCCCUUGAAGUCCCCAGAUGCUGGCUCUCCCACCUCUGUUCUUGUGUGACACAGAGGUGUGGCUACGCGUGGGGGAGCCCAGAGCUGUGGGGAGAAAUCAGAAAUGCGGCCAAGAGGGAGCACGUCCAGGAAAAGCCACGGUUUGCCCCCCGCCAGGCCAUCCUACACCGGUCGGACUCUUCCUCCAGGGUUUGGAAAAACCGAGCAGCCACAAGAGGCUCCCAGGUGUCCCAUCUGCCGCCUUUCCUCCCGGGGGGAAUCUCAGGAAGGUCUGGUGGCCGCAGCCGUGACCUCCAUCACCACGCGCCCACGAGUGUGAACGGUCACAGCUGUGGCCCCCGCACACACCAGGCUUCACUGCAGCAUCCCCUCCCCGUCCCCAUCCCAACAC